Molecule: ribosomal RNA, 254 nt
Filed under: uncultured bacterium
Lineage: Bacteria
Description: partial 16S ribosomal RNA
Rfam family: Bacterial small subunit ribosomal RNA
Source: RNAcentral
UACAGAGGGUGCAAGCGUUAAUCAGAAUGACUGGGCGUAAAGAGCGCGCAGGCGGUCGUUCAAGUCGCGUGUGAAAGCCCCCGGCUCAACUGGGGAGGGUCACGCGAUACUGAUCGACUCGAAGGCAGGAGAGGGUAGUGGAAUUCCCGGUGUAGUGGUGAAAUGCGUAGAUAUCGGGAGGAACACCAGUGGCGAAGGCGACUACCUGGCCUGUUUCUUGACGCUGAGGCGCGAAAGCUAGGGGAGCAAACGGG